This 424-nucleotide ribosomal RNA is filed under the name uncultured bacterium. Its description in RNAcentral is "bacterial SSU rRNA". It matches the Rfam family "Bacterial small subunit ribosomal RNA", at positions 355 to 776 of the family's 1533-position model. The record is from RNAcentral.
UGGGGGAUAUUGCACAAUGGGGGGAACCCUGAUGCAGCGACGCCGCGUGGACGAUGAAGUAUUUCGGUAUGUAAAGUCCUGUCAGCAGGGAAGAAAGCAUGUUGGAAGACACAUGCAUGACGGUACCUGACCAAGAAGCACCGGCUAAAUACGUGCCAGCAGCCGCGGUAAUACGUAUGGUGCAAGCGUUAUCCGGAUUUACUGGGUGUAAAGGGAGCGCAGGCGGCGCGCCAAGUCUGAUGUGAAAGCCCGGGGCCCAACCCCGGCACUGCAUUGGAAACUGGCGUGCUUGAGUGUCGGAGGGGUAAGUGGAAUUCCUAGUGUAGCGGUGAAAUGCGUAGAUAUUAGGAGGAACACCAGUGGCGAAGGCGGCUUACUGGACGACUACUGACGCUGAGGCUCGAAAGCGUGGGGAGCAAACAGG